AUGGCAGUAGUAGACUUUGACCUCCGGUUCACAUAUGUGUUGGCUGGUUGGGAAGGGUCCGCACACGACGCGACCGUUUUAGCUGAUGCAUUAACUCGUGAGAGAGGCUUACAAGUACCACCUGGAAAUUACUACCUAGUUGAUGCUGGUUAUGGAGCCAAGCCUGGGUUCUUACCACCUUUUCGUGGCAUGAGGUACCAUUUGAAUGAGUGGGGCAACAAUUCGGUCCAAAAUGAUAAGGAGCUAUUCAAUCUUAGGCACUCAUCUCUACGGGUGACGGUAGAGAGGGCUUUUGGAUCUCUCGAGAGGCGCUUCAAAAUUUUAGAUGAUGCCAAACCCUUCUUCACUUUCCGAGUCCAAGUCGACAUUGUUAUAGCUUGUUGUGUUCUUCAUAAUUAUGCACUAUCACAAGGGAUCGAUGAAUUCAUUAUACCAGAAGUGACAUGGACCACCCAACCAAUUCAAACUUCAAGGCAACAAUUAAGUGAUAAUAGGGCCUUGGUAGACCAUAGGCUACAAAUUGUCACCCAAAUGUGGGAAGAUAGGCAACUCAUGUAUGCAAAUUUAUGA
RNAcentral lists this ribosomal RNA (570 nucleotides) under Triticum aestivum (bread wheat). Its description in RNAcentral is "partial small subunit ribosomal RNA". Lineage: Eukaryota; Viridiplantae; Streptophyta; Magnoliopsida; Poales; Poaceae. The record is from RNAcentral.